This 1560-nucleotide ribosomal RNA is filed under the name marine metagenome. RNAcentral describes it as "bacterial LSU rRNA". It matches the Rfam family "Bacterial large subunit ribosomal RNA", at positions 549 to 2214 of the family's 2925-position model. The record is from RNAcentral.
CCUGAACCGCAUGCCUACAAUCAGUCGAAGCUCUUUUUAGAGUGACGGCGUACCUUUUGUAUAAUGGGUCAGUGACUUAAUUUAUAAAGCAAGCUUAAGCCAUCUAGGUGUAGGCGCAGCGAAAGCAAGUCUUAAUAGGGCGAUUAGUUUUAUGAAUUAGACCCGAAAACGAAUGAGCUUACCAUGAGCAGGUUGAAAGUUGGGUAACACCAACCGGAGGACCGAACCAGUUGACGUUGAAAAGUCUUUGGAUGACUUGUGGUAAGGGGUGAAAGGCCAACCAAAUUCGUAGAUAGCUGGUUUUCCGCGAAAACUAUUUAGGUAGUGCGAUGAAUAAAUAGAUGUUUAGAGGUAGAGCACUAAAUGGGCUAGGGGGAAGAGAUUCUUACCAAACCUAAUAAAACUCCGAAUGCUAAAUAUUGUUCUUCAUCAGACAGACUGUGGGUGCUAAGGUCCAUGGUCGAGAGGGAAAGAGCCCAGACCACCAGAUAAGGUCCCAAAAUUAUGAUUAAGUGUGAAAGGAUGUGGAAAUUCCUUAACAGCCGGGAGGUUGGCUUAGAAGCAGCCAUCCUUUAAAGAUAGCGUAACAGCUCACCGGUCUAAUAGAGUUUCUGCGCCGAAGAUGUAACGGGGCUCAAAUCAUAUACCGAAUCUGUGGGUUUAUAAAAUUUUCGAAUUUUAUAAGCGGUAGCGGAACGUUCUGUAAGCCUGUGAAGGGAUACCUGUGAAGGAUCCUGGAGGUAUCAGAAGUGCGAAUGCUGACAUAAGUAACGAUAAAAGAAGUGAAAAACUUCUUCGCCGAAAAUCCAAGGGUUUCUGCGCAAGGUUAAUCCGCGCAGAGUUAGUCGGCACCUAAGGCGAGGGCGAAAGCCGUAGUCGAUGGAAAUAAGGUUAAUAUUCCUUAACCAGGUGGUAGUGACGGAUCUUGUAAGUUGUGAGUUCUUAAUGGAUUGAACUUGCCGCGAAAAGGUUCCAAGAAAUAGCUCCAUCAUUAGACCGUACCCUAAACCGACACAGGUGGAUUAAUAGAGUAUAUUUAGGCGCUUGAGAGAAUGAUGUUGAAGGAACUCGGCAAAAUGCUUCCGUAACUUCGGGAUAAGGAAGACCUUCUUAUAGGCAACUAUAGGAGGGUGGCACAAGCCAGGGAGAAGCGACUGUUUAUCAAAAACACAGGGCUCUGCUAACACGUAAGUGGAUGUAUAGGGUCUGACGCCUGCCCGGUGCUGGAAGGUUAAUGCGGUUGGUGCAAGCUAACUUCUGAAGCCCCAGUAAACGGCGGCCGUAACUAUAACGGUCCUAAGGUAGCGAAAUUCCUUGUCGGGUAAGUUCCGACCUGCAUGAAUGGCGUAACGAUUUCUCCGCUGUCUCCAACAUCAACUCAGUGAAAUUGAAUUCUCCGUGAAGAUGCGGAGUUCGCGUAGUUAGACGGAAAGACCCCGUGCACCUUUACUGCAACUUUACAUUGGUGUUAGGAAAAACAUAUUUAGCAUAGGAGGGAGACAUUGAAGCAAUGGCGUCAGCUUUUGUGGAGUCACCAGUGAAAUACCUCUUUUGUUUUUC